AACUAACGCUGGCGGCGCGUCUUAAACAUGCAAGUCGAACGAGAACCCUGGUGCUUGCAUUAGGGGGAAAGUGGCGAACGGGUGAGUAACACGUGGAUAAUCUACCUUUGGGAUGGGGACAACAUCGCGAAAGUGGUGCUAAUACCGAAUAAGGUGGUUGUAUCAUAAGAUAUAGUCAUGAAAGGGUGGGGACCUUCGGGCCCACUGCCUGGAGAUGAGUCCGCGGCUGAUUAGCUUGUUGGUGGGAACGGCCUACCAAGGCGACGAUCAGUAGCCGGCCUGAGAGGGUGAACGGCCACAUUGGGACUGAGACACGGCCCAGACUCCUACGGGAGGCAGCAGUUAAGAAUCUUGCGCAAUGGACGAAAGUCUGACGCAGCGACGCCGCGU
This 390-nucleotide ribosomal RNA is filed under the name uncultured bacterium. Its description in RNAcentral is "bacterial SSU rRNA". It matches the Rfam family "Bacterial small subunit ribosomal RNA", at positions 29 to 402 of the family's 1533-position model. The record is from RNAcentral.